CUUCCUGCCAUGUGGUGACAGAUUAAAAGCUGCUAUACAUUUUGGAACUGGAAACUGAGCUCCCAAUGUAAAGAAGAUAAGCCAUCAUGCUUACAAUAUGUUGUGCAGAGCUCACUGGUGGGCAGUUUUUCUUAACAAUGCAUCAGGACUUUUGUUAUUUGUAAAGGAAGCUUAAAGGAAGCUGAGAGUGCUGAGGGCACAUCUGAAACCACUGGAGGUUGGCGACGUGAAGGUCAGGUAGUUCUGCACCCCUGGAGAGAGCAGUCAUUAUGCAGGACAACCCAUCUGCUCAGAACUUUCGGUGGUGGCUUGUGCUGUGACUCCGGUCCCAUUCAUCUAUGUGCUGCUGUAGGCUUAGCUUCCCACAGCCUCUCCAGCUUUGCCAUUUGUCAUUAUCAUUCACUCUUAAUAUUUCUUCUAUCUAUGACCCUAAUGCACGGAGUGAUAGCUGAUAGUCUCUUAAAACAACUUUUACAAUUAUUUUGACAGUUUACUGUGUUUUGUUCUCUCAACAAUACUUAGAAUUUGUCUGAGUUAUAGUUGCAUAGAUGGCAAUUUUCCUGACCUAGUUUUCUGACUAUGAUUUAUGGGUCAGUAAACUCCUUAAAUGAUGGAAUAUAACAUCUCAGGCCACAGGGAACACUUACUAUCCACCUGCUCACUGUUGCAGGACGGAUUCGUGGCCAGCCUCAGGUUGCUAAACGUUAGGGUGAUCUGCCUUCCUUCUGGGGCGGUGAUUCUCCACUCGUAGAUCCGGCCAUGAGGAUUUAGGUUCGGGUAGUUGGGAGAAGUAGAUGUUCCAGCAGAGCCCUGAAGAUCCCCAUCACACUCUGAUGUGGGGGAAAAAAGCCAAGAAAACUUCCAAUCAAAUCAAAAUGUCUCCUUCCAUCAGGAAAGCUCUCAAAAUUCAGGUGUCCUGCGUGUACAAAGAAAAUAAUAAAAAACAAGACCUUGCCCAUGAAGAAAUGUUAAUCUCUGUCAAGAAAACAGGAAAACAUGAAUGAAAAUUAACAUAUUCAAGUAUAUGAAGAAGUGAAAAAAAUGCAACCAGUUAGGGGAAGGAUAUCUCAGGAUAAUGAGGAAGGCUAGUUUUUUGGUUGAAAAAGUGGUCUGAGACAACAGAGUGACAAAUAUCUGCCUUAUGCUACUGCCAGGAGACAUGCAUGACCCUCUCCCUGCCUCGAGCUAUAGAACAUCCCUCAAAUAACGGCAUGUGGCAAUGGGAUAUCUCAGCAGCAACAGGGUGUCUUCCCACUACCGUUGCUCCCCCCAAGUGGCCUCCAGGGUAGACUAUAUGACACCUGGGCUCUGGACAUCCAUUGUUAAUGGUAGAAUUGAGGGAGAGAAUCGCUGGUACUGCCCAAAGCGCGUUAAUCUGCACUUCUUUGCAGAGUAUAGACAGGCUUUGCCUUUCUUGGAAGUGAAGAAACUUCAGAGGCUGAAUAAGUACAUGCGAAAAUAAACACCCCAAAGAGAGCAGAUAUAUUUCACUAACCAGAAGUAUGAUAGUCCCACAUCUCCACAAAGUCUUUUUCACAGUCAGAGGAAUUCUGAAAGUUAAAAUCUUCAAAAGAGAUGGUGAGAUAGUGUCUGGAGAGCCCCUGGAGAUGCCAAUCACAGAAUAAGUUGUCUCUAUAUGGAAACGUUAGAUGGCCAAUGCUUUCAACAACACCAUUUUGCCCUAUUACUCUUCCCCCACACUGAGCUGAAAAAUAAAAGGAAAAAAAGAAAAAGAAAGAAAGAAAGAAAGAAAGAAAGAAAGAAAGAAAGAAAGAAAGAAAAGAAAGAAAGGAUUCUAUUACAAAUUGUGUUUUUUUCAUUUCACCAGCACAUGUGAAAACUUUUAGGUGCCAAGUGACUAUGAAUUGAAGUUUUUAAAAUUCUGAAAAUGGUUAGUGCUUUCCUCAUUAUUUGAAUUCUAGGGUUGAUGUAAACAGAAGUGAUACCACAAGUCCAAUCCAAUAAUGGGAAACAAGAUGACAACGAAAUGGCAUAUUCUGUAAUGUCACAUUAAUUCUUUCGGGACACUAUGUAAGAGCUGUCAGUUGCAAGCAAGUUUCAUCUCAAGAAUAAACUGGUAGACUCAUCUGACCUGCCUAGAACCUUGUGUUGAUUCUAAAGACUGAACCCAAGCUCAGCUGGAAGGGGGGACACCUGCCAUUUCUAGUUUUACUAUCAACUAAACUGUUCACUACAGUAACUGAUAUCUCAGGGCAUUGAAAAUUACUAUUCAAUUAUGUCUUAUUAGCUGGAUGUGGUAGCUAAUUGAAUUAUAUACAGCUUGACCAGGGAUAUAACAUGAUCUACGGUGUAGUUAAAUACUGUUACAACUAGGCUUUCUGAACUUUUGCUAUAUUAAAUAUUUGUUUGGUUUGUGUCUAGACCUAUUAGAUACUAAAUUAUGUGCUAUUGUGACCAUACUAUAGUGAAUCUUCAACAAGCAAAGUUACCGCUCAAUUUUUAAGUAAGGAAAUCAAAAUCCUGAAGCGACAUAUUUGCUUUUUAUCCAGUGACUGAUUUGGCACUAGAGACUCAGAGAAAAAAAAAAGCUUAUUCAUUUUCUAUAUGAUGAGGAAUUCAAAGACAUUGUUCUAAAUAUGGUUAUCUGGUUCUUAAAUAGUUUUAUUACUUAAAGUAAUAAACAUACUGUAGUUCUUCCUUUUCCUUGGGGGAUACAUUCCAAGUCCCCCCAGUGAGUGCCUAAAACCUCGGAUAGUACCAAACCCUAUAUAGACAUAUAGACAAUUUUUUUCUACAUAUAUGUACCUAUGAUAAAGCUUACUUUAUCAAUUAAACAUAGUAAGAGAUUAACAACAAUAACUAAUAAUAAAAUAGAACAAUCAUAACAGUAUACUAUAAGAAAAGUUAUGUAAAUGUGGUCUCUCAAAAUAUCUUGGUGUACUGUACUCACCUAUUUUUUGGGCCUCUGUUUACCAAGGGUGUUGAAACCAUGGAACAUGAAACCAUGGAUAAGAGAGAACUACUGAAUUUCAUAGUAAGCAGAAGAAACAAGAGUUUGAUUUAACUACACAUAUUUCUUCACAAAUAAGUUAGAAAAAACAUAAAAUAUUCAAGUUUACUAAGAUUACAUUUUAAAAUAAAAGUUAAAAGAGAAAUUAAAGUUGAUGACUGUGAUUUUAAACAUUUACACUCUUUACUUAUUUCUAGCAUUAAAAUAUUUUUUAAGUUAGGCAGAAUGACUUUUUAAAAAGUCAUGGUUUUAAAAAAAGUUUUAACAUAUUCAUUCUGUAACAACUCUUUUAUUUAAUAUAAAAAUGUUUUCCAGGGUUUUUAUAGUUUUGUGUUUUACAGUUAAGUCUUCAGUAUAUCUUGAAUUGAUUUUUGUAUAUGGUAUAAGGAAGGGGUCCAGUUUCAAUCUUCCACAUAUUGCUAGCCAGUUCUCCCAGCAUCAUUUAUUGGAUAGGGAGUCUUUUCCCCAUUGCUUGCUUUUGUCAGCUUUGUUGAAGAUCAGAUGCCUGUAGGUGUGAGGCCCUAUUUCUAAGCUCUCUAUUCCAUUUUAUUGGUCUAUGUGUCUAUUUUUGUACCAGUACCAUGCUGUUUUGGUUACUGUACCCCUGUAGUAUAGUUUCAAGUCAGGUAUUGUGAUGCCUCCAGCUUUGUUCUUUUAGUUUAGGAUUGCCUUGGUUAUUUGGGUUCUUUCUCAGGUCCAUAUGAGUUUUAAAAUAGUUUUUUCUAGUUCUGUGAAGAAUGUCAUGGUAGUUUCAUAGGAAUAGCAUUGAAUCUGUAAAUUUGGGGAAGCAGUAUGGCCACUUUAAUAAUACUAAUUCUUCCUAUCUAUGAGCAUGGAAUUUUUUUUCAUUUGAUAGGGUGGAGGGUGGGAGAAGGGAGAGGAGCAGAAAAAAUAACUAUUAGAUACUAGGCUUAGUACCUGGGUGAUGAAAUAAUCUUUACAAUGACCCCCAUGGCACGAGUUUACCUAUAUAACAAACCUGCACAUGUACCCCUGAACCUAAAAUAAAAGUUAAAAAAUA
RNAcentral lists this long non-coding RNA (3992 nucleotides) under Pongo abelii (Sumatran orangutan). Its description in RNAcentral is "lincRNA". The record is from RNAcentral. Lineage: Eukaryota; Metazoa; Chordata; Mammalia; Primates; Hominidae.